Molecule: ribosomal RNA, 465 nt
Filed under: uncultured bacterium
Lineage: Bacteria
Description: partial 16S ribosomal RNA
Rfam family: Bacterial small subunit ribosomal RNA
Source: RNAcentral
GCCAGACUCCUACGGGAGGCAGCAGUGAGGAAUAUUGGUCAAUGGGCGCUAGCCUGAACCAGCCAAGUAGCGUGAAGGAUGACUGCCCUAUGGGUUGUAAACUUCUUUUAUAUGGGAAUAAAGUGCAGUAUGUAUACUGCUUUGCAUGUACCUUAUGAAUAAGGAUCGGCUAACUCCGUGCCAGCAGCCGCGGUAAUACGGAGGAUCCGAGCGUUAUCCGGAUUUAUUGGGUUUAAAGGGAGCGUAGGCGGGUUGUUAAGUCAGUUGUGAAAGUUUGCGGCUCAACCGUAAAAUUGCAGUUGAUACUGGCAUCCUUGAGUACAGUAGAGGUAGGCGGAAUUCGUGGUGUAGCGGUGAAAUGCGUAGAUAUCAGGAGGAACACCGGUGGCGAAGGCGGCCUGCUGGACUGCAACUGACGUUGAGGCCCGAAAGCGUGGGGAGCAAACAGGAUUAGAUACCCCCGUA